RNAcentral lists this ribosomal RNA (532 nucleotides) under Alternaria alternata. RNAcentral describes it as "partial contains 18S rRNA, ITS1, 5.8S rRNA, ITS2 and 28S rRNA". The stretch from base 177 to 330 matches the Rfam family "5.8S ribosomal RNA". RNAcentral also lists the same sequence under 1 other name. The record is from RNAcentral. Lineage: Eukaryota; Fungi; Ascomycota; Dothideomycetes; Pleosporales; Pleosporaceae.
AGGGAUCAUUACACAAAUAUGAAGGCGGGCUGGAACCUCUCGGGGUUACAGCCUUGCUGAAUUAUUCACCCUUGUCUUUUGCGUACUUCUUGUUUCCUUGGUGGGUUCGCCCACCACUAGGACAAACAUAAACCUUUUGUAAUUGCAAUCAGCGUCAGUAACAAAUUAAUAAUUACAACUUUCAACAACGGAUCUCUUGGUUCUGGCAUCGAUGAAGAACGCAGCGAAAUGCGAUAAGUAGUGUGAAUUGCAGAAUUCAGUGAAUCAUCGAAUCUUUGAACGCACAUUGCGCCCUUUGGUAUUCCAAAGGGCAUGCCUGUUCGAGCGUCAUUUGUACCCUCAAGCUUUGCUUGGUGUUGGGCGUCUUGUCUCUAGCUUUGCUGGAGACUCGCCUUAAAGUAAUUGGCAGCCGGCCUACUGGUUUCGGAGCGCAGCACAAGUCGCACUCUCUAUCAGCAAAGGUCUAGCAUCCAUUAAGCCUUUUUUUCAACUUUUGACCUCGGAUCAGGUAGGGAUACCCGCUGAACUUAAG